Molecule: long non-coding RNA, 385 nt
Organism: Felis catus (domestic cat)
Lineage: Eukaryota; Metazoa; Chordata; Mammalia; Carnivora; Felidae
Exons: 3
Source: RefSeq, a predicted model, not a curated record
GAGAGAGGGGGACACAGAAUCUGAAGCAGGCUCCAGGUUCCGAGCUGUCAGCACAGAGCCGACGCAGGGCUGGAGCUCACAAGCCUGAGAUCAUGACCUGGGCCGAAGUCAGAUGCCCAACCUACCAAACCAUCAUGGCGCCCCAGCAAAAAGUACUUUUAAAUUAAGAGGGCCCUUAAAAUUUGUAAGCUCUGGCCCCAUAAAACCUGGACCUGUCCUGUUGGCAAGAUGUCCUUGGGAGGUUAAAACUAAUAGGAUUUAGAAUGCAAAAGGAGGUACCACUCAUCGAAAUUGAAGAUGAGGUAGAAGACAUGGAUGAAUAUGCAGAGAGAGACAGAGCAUGAACGGGGGAGGGGCAGAGAGAGAGGGAGACACAGAAUCGGAA